This 259-nucleotide ribosomal RNA is filed under the name uncultured soil bacterium. RNAcentral's name for it is "partial 16S ribosomal RNA". It matches the Rfam family "Bacterial small subunit ribosomal RNA", at positions 26 to 285 of the family's 1533-position model. The record is from RNAcentral.
AGGAUGAACGCUGGCGGCGUGCUUAACACAUGCAAGUCGAACGAUGAAGCAGAGCUUGCUCUGUGGAUUAGUGGCGAACGGGUGAGUAACACGUGAGUAACCUGCCCUUGACUCUGGAAUAAGCGUUGGAAACGACGUCUAAUACCGGAUACGAGCUUCCGCCGCAUGGUGGGGAGCUGGAAAGAAUUUCGGCAAGGAUGGACUCGCGGCCUAUCAGGUAGUUGGUGAGGUAAUGGCUCACCAAGCCCUACGACGGGUA